RNAcentral lists this ribosomal RNA (371 nucleotides) under uncultured organism. Its description in RNAcentral is "bacterial SSU rRNA". It matches the Rfam family "Bacterial small subunit ribosomal RNA", at positions 526 to 896 of the family's 1533-position model. The record is from RNAcentral.
CAGAGGGUGCAAGCGUUAAUCGGAAUUACUGGGCGUAAAGCGUGCGUAGUCGGUUAUCUAAGUCGGAUGUGAAAUCCCCGGGCUCAACCUGGGAAUUGCAUUCGAUACUGGAUAGCUAGAGUUCGGCAGAGGGAAGCGGAAUUUCUGGUGUAGCGGUGAAAUGCGUAGAUAUCAGAAGGAACAUCAGUGGCGAAAGCGGCUUCCUGGACCAGAACUGACGAUCAGGCACGAAAGCGUGGGGAGCAAACAGGAUUAGAUACCCUGGUAGUCCACGCCAUAAACGAUGACAACUAGACGUUGGGGACAUAUGGUCCACAGUGUCGCAGCUAACGCGUUAAGUUGUCCGCCUGGGGAGUACGGCCGCAAGGUUG